GAGCCGCGCGGUGAGCACAAAGCGAACUAUUUUUUCGCCUUUUACUAAAGAAUACCGUGUGCUCGUCGCUUCCAACGGCAUACAUUACUUUUUUAAGGGGAUUUUCUGCAAAUGUCCC
Molecule: small nuclear RNA, 118 nt
Organism: Carya illinoinensis
Lineage: Eukaryota; Viridiplantae; Streptophyta; Magnoliopsida; Fagales; Juglandaceae
Product: U5 spliceosomal RNA
Exons: 1
Source: RefSeq, a predicted model, not a curated record